GGGUGCUCUUGGCUGUUUGUUGAGGGCAAUAAAUACCCGUCACUGGUUUUGUCCUUGGCAAAUAGACGAAAGCCCCGAAAGUUAAAUUUCUUUAACCAACGAGGCAAUCUAAUGUACUUGAACACUACUGAUGGUAGCCUCUAUUUUACUGAGAGGCAAGUUUUAUGCUACGAAG
Molecule: antisense RNA, 175 nt
Filed under: Photobacterium damselae subsp. damselae CIP 102761
Lineage: Bacteria; Pseudomonadati; Pseudomonadota; Gammaproteobacteria; Vibrionales; Vibrionaceae
Description: sok antitoxin (CssrC)
Rfam family: sok antitoxin (CssrC)
About the family: Also identified in Shigella as CssrC.
Source: Rfam by way of RNAcentral